CGAAAGCCUGACGGAGCAAGACCGCGUGAGGGAGGAAGGCUCUAGGGUUGUAAACCCCUUUUCUUUGGGAAGAACAAAAUGACGGUACCAAAGGAAUCAGCCUCGGCUAACUCCGUGCCAGCAGCCGCGGUAAUACGGAGGAGGCAAGCGUUAUCCGGAAUGAUUGGGCGUAAAGCGUCCGCAGGUGGCGAUUCAAGUCUGCUGUCAAAGCACGGGGCUUAACUCCGUAAAGGCAGUGGAAACUGAAGGACUAGAGUGCGGUAGGGGCAGAGGGAAUUCCCGGUGUAGCGGUGAAAUGCGUAGAUUUCGGGAAGAACAUCGGUGGCGAAAGCGCUCUGCUGGGCCGCAACUGACACUCAGGGACGAAAGCUAGGGGAGCG
This 380-nucleotide ribosomal RNA is filed under the name uncultured cyanobacterium. RNAcentral describes it as "bacterial SSU rRNA". It matches the Rfam family "Bacterial small subunit ribosomal RNA", at positions 376 to 770 of the family's 1533-position model. The record is from RNAcentral. Lineage: Bacteria; Bacillati; Cyanobacteriota.